GCCCGAGUGGCGGAACUGGCAGACGCGACGGAUUCAAAAUCCGUUUCCCUCACCGGAGUGUGGGUUCGACUCCCUCCUCGGGCACCA
RNAcentral lists this transfer RNA (87 nucleotides) under Phycisphaerae bacterium. RNAcentral describes it as "tRNA-Leu". It matches the Rfam family "tRNA". Rfam says of the family: Transfer RNA (tRNA) molecules are approximately 80 nucleotides in length. Their secondary structure includes four short double-helical elements and three loops (D, anti-codon, and T loops). Lineage: Bacteria; Pseudomonadati; Planctomycetota; Phycisphaerae. RNAcentral also lists the same sequence under 1 other name. The record is from RNAcentral.